GUGAGGAAUAUUGGUCAAUGGGCGCAAGCCUGAACCAGCCAUCCCGCGUGAAGGAAGAAGGCCCUACGGGUUGUAAACUUCUUUUCUGUUUGAAGAAUAAGCUUGUCGAGACAAGUGAUGCCGGUAGGACAGGAAUAAGCAUCGGCUAACUCCGUGCCAGCAGCCGCGGUAAUACGGAGGAUGCAAGCGUUAUCCGGAUUUAUUGGGUUUAAAGGGUGCGCAGGUGGUUGAAUAAGUCAGUGGUGAAAGUCUGGCGCUUAACGUUAGGAUUGCCAUUGAUACUGUUUGACUUGAAUAUGGAUGAGGUAGGCGGAAUGUGUAGUGUAGCGGUGAAAUGCUUAGAUAUUACACAGAACACCGAUUACGAAGGCAGCUUACUAAUCCAUUAUUGACGCUGAGGCACGAAAGCGUGGGGAUCAAACAGGAUUAGAUACCCGUGUAGUCC
RNAcentral lists this ribosomal RNA (445 nucleotides) under uncultured bacterium. RNAcentral's name for it is "partial 16S ribosomal RNA". It matches the Rfam family "Bacterial small subunit ribosomal RNA", at positions 354 to 796 of the family's 1533-position model. The record is from RNAcentral.